GAAAUUCCUGUACCACCGUAAUCCGUGAUGAGCGAUGGGGUGACGCAGUAGGGUAGUGACGCGGACUGAUGGAUGUCCGUCUAAGCAGUGAGGCUGAUGUGUAGGCAAAUCCGCACAUCGUUAAGGCUGGGCUGUGAUGGGGAGCGAAAAUUAUAGUAGCGAAGGUCAUGAUCUCAGACUGCCAAGAAAAGCCUCUAGCCAGGAGAAGGUGCCCGUACCGCAAACCGACACAGGUAGGCGAGAAGAGAAUUCUAAGGCGCGCGGAAGAACUCUCGUUAAGGAACUCGGCAAAAUGACCCCGUAACUUCGGGAGAAGGGGUGCCUCGGUAGGGUGAAUAGCCCGAGGGGGCCGCAGUGAAAAGGCCCAAGCGACUGUUUAGCAAAAACACAGGUCUGUGCGAAGCCGCAAGGCGAAGUAUACGGGCUGACGCCUGCCCGGUGCUGGAAGGUUAAGGGGAGUGGUAAGC
Molecule: ribosomal RNA, 467 nt
Filed under: Paenibacillus sp. EKM202P
Lineage: Bacteria; Bacillati; Bacillota; Bacilli; Caryophanales; Paenibacillaceae
Description: partial 23S ribosomal RNA
Rfam family: Bacterial large subunit ribosomal RNA
Source: RNAcentral